GACGAACGCUGGCGGCGUGCCUAAUACAUGCAAGUCGAACGCAGUGGGGACGGGUGAGUAACACGUGGGUAACCUCCCAUCAGAGGGGAUAACACUUGGAAACAGGUGCUAAACCGCUACUGAUGGAUGAACCCGCGGUGCAUUAGCUAGUUGGUGAGGUAACGGCGCACCAAGGCCACGAGGCAUAGCCGACCGGAGAGGUUGAUCGGCCAAACGGGGACGUAGACACGGCCCAGACGCCUACGGGAGGAAGCAGUAGGGAAGCUUGGGCAAUGGACGAAAGUCGGACCGAGCAACGCCGCGUGAGUGAAGAAGGUUUUCGGAUCGUAAAACUCUGUUGUUAGAGAAGCGGUAUCUAACCAGAAAGCCACGGCUAACUACGUGCCAGCAGCCGCGGUAAUAC
This 403-nucleotide ribosomal RNA is filed under the name uncultured bacterium. RNAcentral's name for it is "partial 16S ribosomal RNA". It matches the Rfam family "Bacterial small subunit ribosomal RNA", at positions 28 to 526 of the family's 1533-position model. The record is from RNAcentral.